RNAcentral lists this long non-coding RNA (234 nucleotides) under Elaeis guineensis (African oil palm). RNAcentral describes it as "long non-coding RNA (EGUI_LNC003490)". Lineage: Eukaryota; Viridiplantae; Streptophyta; Magnoliopsida; Arecales; Arecaceae. The record is from RNAcentral.
GUAUUAAAGCGGGCCACGAAGUCUCUUAGUGUCUCUGUCUCAUCUUGUUUGAUCGAGAAGAGACUGUCGGAUGUUCGUGAUGGCCUUCAACUUGUGCUGAAGUGGAUCACGAAGGAAUAUUCGAGCUACUUGAAAGAAUUGAUGCUUUCCGACUAAAGCUCGGAGUACCAGGCUCGAGCAGCCUUCUGAAGAGUUGCCAGGAAGCUAAUGCAUAUGAGGACAUCGAUUGCCCCC